CUUCUACAGCGCCGCCGCGCGUGCUCGGAACCACAGACACCACCACGCAGGUCCAUCAUCCCGGAAUCUUCACCAAGGUCUUCCUCGGCGCGUCCGACGCCUAGGUUGUCAUCCGGGAGCUGGAGCGCAUGGUAGUUCGCGAAGGGCGAGUCCUAGGAGUUGAGGUGAAGGGAUGCGGAGUGGUGGACACCGACGUUGUGGUGCUUGCGCUCGGCCCGUGUUCCAGGCAGUUCGAUUUUGUCAAGGAGGUGUUCGAUGUGCCCAGGCUUCCGGAAAAUCAGUGAUGGACAUAGUAGUGCUAGUGCUGGGUUUGUAGAUGAACUGAUGCUUGUUCCAUUAUCUUCUUAAUUAGGCACCUCUGAGUGGAGGAAGGCUAUAGCGAUGAGGACGAGGGAGCUGCUCUGGUGAGCAGUCGCAGGACUCCUAAGUCAAAGCUGCUCGUGGCCACCUUGUCCGCAACUGCUAGGAGAUGGAAGUGUAUUACAGAGGGCGGUGAGUUUCAGGAGAAGGAAGAGGCAGCAGCCGGCCACCGACAGGCACUAGCUCGGCGGCGGCGGUGUCCAUCAGCAACAUAAACAACUUCAAUAGCCAGGACAACAGCGUAUUCCCGGUUCUAGCACACUCACUGCUAUGGCUAGCACCGAAAAUGAGUUGUAAGAUGACGAUGCGGUAGCUGCAUCAUGAUUACUGGAUCACCACAGACUUCAAUUGUAAGCUAGCUAACCAUAUUGCACCUUUGAAGUUCUGAUCUGCUGAUCCAUGUUGGAUCGAUC
Lolium rigidum is the source of this 773-nucleotide long non-coding RNA. RefSeq lists it as uncharacterized. Lineage: Eukaryota; Viridiplantae; Streptophyta; Magnoliopsida; Poales; Poaceae. The record is from RefSeq and is a predicted model, not a curated record. The transcript is spliced from 2 exons.